Molecule: ribosomal RNA, 505 nt
Filed under: uncultured Carnobacteriaceae bacterium
Lineage: Bacteria; Bacillati; Bacillota; Bacilli; Lactobacillales; Carnobacteriaceae
Description: bacterial SSU rRNA
Rfam family: Bacterial small subunit ribosomal RNA
Source: RNAcentral
CAGUGAUACGUAGCCGACUUGAGAGGGUGAUCGGCCACACUGGGACUGAGACACGGCCCAGACUCCUACGGGAGGCAGCAGUAGGGAAUCUUCCACAAUGGGUGCAAACCUGAUGGAGCAAUGCCGCGUGAGUGAAGAAGGUCUUCGGAUCGUAAAGCUCUGUUGUUAGAGAAGAACACGUGCUAGGUAACUACUAGCGCCUUGACGGUAUCUAACCAGAAAGUCACGGCUAACUACGUGCCAGCAGCCGCGGUAAUACGUAGGUGACAAGCGUUGUCCGGAUUUAUUGGGCGUAAAGGGAGCGCAGGCGGUCUGUUUAGUCUAAUGUGAAAGCCCACGGCUUAACCGUGGAACGGCAUUGGAAACUGACAGACUUGAAUGUAGAAGAGGAAGAUGGAAUUCCAAGUGUAGCGGUGGAAUGCGUAGAUAUUUGGAGGAACACCAGUGGCGAAGGCGAUUUUCUGGUCUAACAUUGACGCUGAGGCUCGAAAGCGUGGGGAGCGAA